This is a non-coding RNA of Tuber borchii (whitish truffle), 84 nucleotides long. The record is from the annotation of a GenBank genome assembly. Lineage: Eukaryota; Fungi; Ascomycota; Pezizomycetes; Pezizales; Tuberaceae.
UGUCGGGCUGGUGUAGUGGUUAGUAUUUUCGCCUGUCAUUGACUCUGAGCGCGGACGACCGGGGUUCAAUUUCCCGCCUAAGAG